GACGAACCGUGCGAACGUUGUUCGGAAUCACUGGGCUUAAAGGGCGCGUAGGCGGGCUGCCAAGUCUGGGGUGAAAUCCCACGGCUCAACCGUGGAACUGCCUCGGAUACUGGCGACCUCGAGUGGGGUAGGGGCUUGCGGAACUGUGCGUGGAGCGGUGAAAUGCGUUGAUAUGCACAGGAACUCCGGUGGCGAAGGCGGCGAGCUGGACCCUAACUGACGCUGAGGCACGAAAGCCAGGGGAGCGAACGGG
Molecule: ribosomal RNA, 253 nt
Filed under: uncultured bacterium
Lineage: Bacteria
Description: partial 16S ribosomal RNA
Rfam family: Bacterial small subunit ribosomal RNA
Source: RNAcentral